AACGCACAUUGCGCCCGCUAGUAUUCUGGCGGGCAUGCCUGUUCGAGCGUCAUUUCAACCCCUCAAGCCCUGCUUGGUGCUGGGGCCCUACGUGCGCCGUAGGCCCCGAAUUACAGUGGCGGGCUCGCCGCGAUCCCGAGCGUAGUAACACACCUCGCUCUGGGGCUCCGCGGCGGGCGCCGGCCGUGAAAACGACCAAACACAAACGCAAGGUUGACCUCGGAUCAGGUAGGAAUACCCGCUGAACUUAA
Molecule: unclassified non-coding RNA, 251 nt
Filed under: uncultured fungus
Lineage: Eukaryota; Fungi
Description: partial contains 5.8S ribosomal RNA, internal transcribed spacer 2, and large subunit ribosomal RNA
Source: RNAcentral